GACGAAAGUCUGACCGAGCAACGCCGCGUGAGUGAAGAAGGUUUUCGGAUCGUAAAGCUCUGUUGUAAGAGAAGAACGAGUGUGAGAGUGGAAAGUUCACACUGUGACGGUAUCUUACCAGAAAGGGACGGCUAACUACGUGCCAGCAGCCGCGGUAAUACGUAGGUCCCGAGCGUUGUCCGGAUUUAUUGGGCGUAAAGCGAGCGCAGGCGGUUAGAUAAGUCUGAAGUUAAAGGCUGUGGCUUAACCAUAGUACGCUUUGGAAACUGUUUAACUUGAGUGCAAGAGGGGAGAGUGGAAUUCCAUGUGUAGCGGUGAAAUGCGUAGAUAUAUGGAGGAACACCGGUGGCGAAAGCGGCUCUCUGGCUUGUAACUGACGCUGAGGCUCGAAAGCGUGGGGAGCAAACAGGAUUAGAUACCCUGGUAGUCCACGCCGUAAACGAUGAGUGCUAGGUGUUAGACCCUUUCCGGGGUUUAGUGCCGUAGCUAACGCAUUAAGCACUCCGCCUGGGGAGUACGACCGCAAGGUUGAAACUCAAAGGAAUUGACGGGGGCCCGCACAAGCGGUGGAGCAUG
This 576-nucleotide ribosomal RNA is filed under the name Listeria monocytogenes. Its description in RNAcentral is "bacterial SSU rRNA". It matches the Rfam family "Bacterial small subunit ribosomal RNA", at positions 374 to 941 of the family's 1533-position model. Lineage: Bacteria; Bacillati; Bacillota; Bacilli; Caryophanales; Listeriaceae. The record is from RNAcentral.